CUGGCCCAACGCUCCCAACCGCUAGGCUACCUGCCGCCCCUUUUCAUCAACAAUGGACACAUGCAUUUUGGAAAAGUAUUUUAUUGCUAUGUAUAACAAACGUACAUAACAACGUACAAAUCAGUCAUUCAUUAAUUAAAUCGUUUUGCAGUUAUUCAGUCAAGGUGCUUGUUCUAAAAUGAAGGGACGUCCAAUCGAACGUUAUUUUCCAGUUUGUUGCUUUUCUCAUGUACUCACUAUCUCUUCUUAUGUUUGUUUGAGAGACCUGUAGUCACAUGGUCUAUUAAUAUAAUUCUGUUUGAGAGACCUGUAGUCACAUGGUCUAUGAAUAUAAUUAUGUUUGAGAGACCUGUAGUCACAUGGUCUAUUAAUAUAAUUCUGUUUGAGAGACCUGUAGUCACAUGGUCUAUUAAUAUAAUUCUGUUUGAGAGCUCUGUAGUCACAUGGUCUAUUAAUAUAAUUCAGGAGCAUUAGAUGGGCGUGUCCUUACAGCUGUUUACCUGGUGUUGUCUCGACAACCGGCACAGGUGAUUUUAGAUAUUGCAAAGGUUCAAUUCCUGGAGGUAGGAGACCCAGAAGGGAGGGAGGGUGACAUCACAUACUUACUACGGCACAGGUCUAGGAUGUGUGUUACUACAUGUUUUGGUUGACCUUAGAGAGAGAAGGACUGGAGCACACAGCUAUAGGAAUAUUAGCCAGUGCCACUGGGGAGAACCCAGAGGAGUAUCAGCAAAGGAUCAUGGGAGAUAGAGUCCAGAGACAACUGCUGACUUCCUACAAAGAGGAGCUGGUCAGAGCUGCAUAGAGUUCUCCUGUGUUUCAGAGACCUACAGUGGUGCGGUCCAAUGAGGUGGAGGAGAGGGAGGCUACAGAUUCCAGUGGAGGAAGGAGGACAGGCAAAGAAUCGUCUGUGACAGAUUGGAGCUCUUCGUCGCCAUAGUGACGGGGUUGUUGAUGGGGGUCCUGACAGGUGGUUUUGGGGGUGUUGUCAUGGGAGGGUUGACGGGGGCGGUGAUAUGGUUUACAACAGGACUGGUCAGGAACUGGUGGAGCCCCUGAUUCACUGGGAGGCACCAUGUGUACUGCAUCUUAUGGAGGCUUCAAAAAGCAUUCAUAUAGGCUUCAUAAGCACUACAUAAAUCGGUCACAAAUCAUCUAUAAUCAUUUUUCAUGCUCUAUAAAAGAUGAAUAAAUGUGAACAAAUACAUUGAUGGUUUUGUCACACAGCUAUGCCACAUUAUGAAUCUUUAUAGAGCAUGAUGUACGGUUAUAGAUUAUUUGUGAAGCAUUUACGUAGUGUUUAUGAAGCCAAUAUGAAGCAUUUAUAAGAUGCACUUCAAAUAAAGCGGGACCCUACUUUUAAAAACUAUUCUUAUGUAUAUAGAUGGAAGGACUUUGGUGGUGGAUCAUGUUUCUUGAUGCAAUUAUCAAACUUUGGUUAUUAAAUAUUUGGAAAUUAAUAAAAGCCCAAUAAAGACAUAAAAUAUACAGAGCAUAUAUUGAUUAUUUUAAAAGAUAGAUGAAACCCUAAUAUUCAUCACCAGUGCUAGCCUACUUCUGUUAAGUCAGUCCUGAUAUGGGUCUGAACCUGUUAGUCAUCAAGGGAUUAAAAGAGAGAUUCAUCCAGCAAUAUCUUUCCCUGAUUUCAUCUGACCAAGUAUUCAGAUAUUGUGUGACAGGAGUUCAAAAUCAAAUCAAAUGUUAUUUGUCACAUGCGCCGAACACAACAGGUGUGUAGACCUUACAGUGAAAUGCUUACUUACAACAACAACACAUGACCAGUGCUUAAAUUGUAAAUCGGGUGGUGACAAAAUAAUCACCUUUAUAAUAAAGCACUGCAUGCACAUCAUGGCAUUUGCGUAGUGGCAUAGAGCAGUAGAGUAGAGGAUCUUACAGAAGUUGCACACAUGGGGGGAUUUUACUUGGGUCCGCGAAGAAUUUGGCCUUAUAUAAACACAUUUCAUGCAAUUCUACCUCAUUUUAUAUGACUGGAGACUAGCAGAAUAUUUU
This is a long non-coding RNA of Coregonus clupeaformis (lake whitefish), 2010 nucleotides long. RefSeq lists it as uncharacterized. NCBI's taxonomy places the organism in Eukaryota, Metazoa, Chordata, Actinopteri, Salmoniformes, Salmonidae. The record is from RefSeq and is a predicted model, not a curated record. The transcript has 3 exons.